CCUACGGGAGGCUGCAGUGGGGAAUAUUGGGCAAUGGGCGCAAGCCUGACCCAGCAACGCCGCGUGAAGGAAGAAGGCUUUCGGGUUGUAAACUUCUUUUCUCAGGGACGAAGCAAGUGACGGUACCUGAGGAAUAAGCCACGGCUAACUACGUGCCAGCAGCCGCGGUAAUACGUAGGUGGCAAGCGUUAUCCGGAUUUACUGGGUGUAAAGGGAGUGUAGGCGGGACUGCAAGUCAGAUGUGAAAACCACGGGCGCAACCCCUGGCCUGCAUUUGAAACUGUUGUUCUGGAGUACUGGAGAGGCAAGCGGAAUUCCUAGUGUAGCGGUGAAAUGCGUAGAUAUUAGGAGGAACACCAGUGGCGAAGGCAGCCUACCGACG
Molecule: ribosomal RNA, 382 nt
Filed under: uncultured bacterium
Lineage: Bacteria
Description: partial 16S ribosomal RNA
Rfam family: Bacterial small subunit ribosomal RNA
Source: RNAcentral